This 497-nucleotide ribosomal RNA is filed under the name uncultured bacterium. RNAcentral describes it as "partial 16S ribosomal RNA". It matches the Rfam family "Bacterial small subunit ribosomal RNA", at positions 28 to 507 of the family's 1533-position model. The record is from RNAcentral.
GAUGAACGCUGGCGGCGUGCCUAAUACAUGCAAGUCGAGCGAACAGACGAGGAGCUUGCUCCUCUGACGUUAGCGGCGGACGGGUGAGUAACACGUGGAUAACCUACCUAUAAGACUGGGAUAACUUCGGGAAACCGGAGCUAAUACCGGAUAAUAUAUUGAACCGCAUGGUUCAAUAGUGAAAGACGGUUUUGCUGUCACUUAUAGAUGGAUCCGCGCCGCAUUAGCUAGUUGGUAAGGUAACGGCUUACCAAGGCAACGAUGCGUAGCCGACCUGAGAGGGUGAUCGGCCACACUGGAACUGAGACACGGUCCAGACUCCUACGGGAGGCAGCAGUAGGGAAUCUGCCGCAAUGGGCGAAAGCUUGACGGAGCAACGCCGCGUGAGUGAUGAAGGUCUUCGGAUCGUAAAACUCUGUUAUUGGGGAAGAACAAAUGUGUAAGUAACUAUGCACGUCUUGACGGUACCUAAUCAGAAAGCCACGGCUAACUACGUG